GGGGCCGUAGGGUAGCCUGGUCGAUCCUACAAGGCUGGGGGUCUUGUGACUGGAGUUCAAAUCUCCGCGGCCCCA
This 75-nucleotide transfer RNA is filed under the name Methanosalsum natronophilum. RNAcentral describes it as "tRNA-Pro". It matches the Rfam family "tRNA". Rfam says of the family: Transfer RNA (tRNA) molecules are approximately 80 nucleotides in length. Their secondary structure includes four short double-helical elements and three loops (D, anti-codon, and T loops). Further hydrogen bonds mediate the characteristic L-shaped molecular structure. tRNAs have two regions of fundamental functional importance: the anti-codon, which is responsible for specific mRNA codon recognition, and the 3' end, to which the tRNAs corresponding amino acid is attached (by aminoacyl-tRNA synthetases). tRNAs cope with the degeneracy of the genetic code in two manners: having more than one tRNA (with a specific anti-codon) for a particular amino acid; and 'wobble' base-pairing, i.e. permitting non-standard base-pairing at the 3rd anti-codon position. Lineage: Archaea; Methanobacteriati; Methanobacteriota; Methanomicrobia; Methanosarcinales; Methanosarcinaceae. The record is from RNAcentral.